GCGAGCGGCGGACGGGUGAGUAAUGUCUGGGAAACUGCCUGAUGGAGGGGGAUAACUACUGGAAACGGUAGCUAAUACCGCAUGACCUCGAAAGAGCAAAGUGGGGGAUCUUCGGACCUCACGCCAUCGGAUGUGCCCAGAUGGGAUUAGCUAGUAGGUGAGGUAAUGGCUCACCUAGGCGACGAUCCCUAGCUGGUCUGAGAGGAUGACCAGCCACACUGGAACUGAGACACGGUCCAGACUCCUACGGGAGGCAGCAGUGGGGAAUAUUGCACAAUGGGCGCAAGCCUGAUGCAGCCAUGCCGCGUGUGUGAAGAAGGCCUUAGGGUUGUAAAGCACUUUCAGCGAGGAGGAAGGCAUCAUACUUAAUACGUGUGGUGAUUGACGUUACUCGCAGAAGAAGCACCGGCUAACUCCGUGCCAGCAGCCGCGGUAAUACGGAGGGUGCAAGCGUUAAUCGGAAUUACUGGGCGUAAAGCGCACGCAGGCGGUUUGUUAAGUCAGAUGUGAAAUCCCCGAGCUUAACUUGGGAACUGCAUUUGAAACUGGCAAGCUAGAGUCUUGUAGAGGGGGGUAGAAUUCCAGGUGUAGCGGUGAAAUGCGUAGAGAUCUGGAGGAAUACCGGUGGC
This 629-nucleotide ribosomal RNA is filed under the name Rahnella sp. EECC-705. Its description in RNAcentral is "bacterial SSU rRNA". It matches the Rfam family "Bacterial small subunit ribosomal RNA", at positions 91 to 716 of the family's 1533-position model. The record is from RNAcentral. Lineage: Bacteria; Pseudomonadati; Pseudomonadota; Gammaproteobacteria; Enterobacterales; Yersiniaceae.